Molecule: ribosomal RNA, 635 nt
Filed under: uncultured fungus
Lineage: Eukaryota; Fungi
Description: eukaryotic LSU rRNA
Rfam family: 5.8S ribosomal RNA (bases 262-412)
Source: RNAcentral
CGGAGCUAACGAAUUCGCCCUUCUUGGUCAUUUAGAGGAAGUAAAAGUCUAACAAGGUUUCCGUAGGUGAACCUGCGGAAGGAUCAUUACCGAGUUAGGUCUUAUAGGCCCGACCUCCAACCCUUUGUUUACUACACCAUGUUGCUUGGCGGGCCCGCCUUUUGGGGCCGCCGGGGGUUUACAAGCCCCUGGUCAGGUUCGCCAGUAGCCUUAUUAAAUUCUUUUAUAAUUAUGUCGUCUGAGUAAAAUAUAAAUCGUUAAAACUUUCAACAACGGAACUCUUGGUUCUGGCAUGAUGAAGAACGCAGCGAAAUGCGAUAAGUAAUGCGAAUUGCAGAAUUCAUGAGUCGUCGAAUCUUUGAACGCAUAUUGCGCCCUUUGGUAUUCCGAAGGCAUGCCUGUUCGAGCGUCAUUAUCAACCAUCAAGCCUGGCUUGUCGUUGACCUCUUUACCGCUGAAAUAUGUGGUAGGUCCGAAAGAUAAUGACGGCUCGUGUUUGACCCUAGAAGCGAAGAGGUUUUUUUAUUACCCCAUUUAGAGGGUGGCCCGCCCACCCUGUUUAACCAUUAUUUUUCUAAGGUGACCUCGAUCAGGUAGGAAUACCCGCUGAACUUAAGCAUAUCAAUAAGCGGAGG